CGGGAACUCUUCCGGGAGGGAAGGCAGUGGAAUGAGCGGCGGACGGGUGAGUAACACGUAAGGAACCUGCCUCAAGGAUUGGGAUAACUCCGAGAAAUCGGAGCUAAUACCGGAUAGUUCAUCGGACCGCAUGGUCCGCUGAUGAAAGGCGCUUCGGCGUCACCUUGAGAUGGCCUUGCGGUGCAUUAGCUAGUUGGUGGGGUAACGGCCCACCAAGGCGACGAUGCAUAGCCGACCUGAGAGGGUGAUCGGCCACACUGGGACUGAGACACGGCCCAGACUCCUACGGGAGGCAGCAGUAGGGAAUCUUCCACAAUGGACGAAAGUCUGAUGGAGCAACGCCGCGUGAGUGAUGAAGGUUUUCGGAUCGUAAAACUCUGUUGUAAGGGAAGAACACGUACGAGAGGGAAUGCUCGUACCUUGACGGUACCUUACGAGAAAGCCACGGCUAACUACGUGCCAGCAGCCGCGGUAAUACGUAGGUGGCAAGCGUUGUCCGGAAUUAUUGGGCGUAAAGCGCGCGCAGGCGGCCUUUUAAGUCUGAUGUGAAAGCCCCCGGCUCAACCGGGGAGGGGCAUUGGGAACUGGAAGGCUUGAGGACGGAAGAAAACACUGGAAUUCCACGCUCAGUUACAGACCGAAAAGU
RNAcentral lists this ribosomal RNA (646 nucleotides) under Exiguobacterium indicum. RNAcentral describes it as "bacterial SSU rRNA". It matches the Rfam family "Bacterial small subunit ribosomal RNA", at positions 67 to 697 of the family's 1533-position model. The record is from RNAcentral. Lineage: Bacteria; Bacillati; Bacillota; Bacilli; Caryophanales.